UUUUCCAGUUUAUGUAGGUGUGGCAUUCUCUUGGUAGCUGGGGCUGUGAUAAUAUUAGCAGGAAUAGUAUCAGUAGUAUUAGUAUUUCCCUCUGCUCCAAGGGAAUUCCCCUCUAUGGAGAGUUUCCUUUCAAUAUUAUUCUCCAUAAUCAAGAAUAGUUAUUUCAAUCAAGCAAUAUUCUAGUUGAAACUAAAGUGCUUAAAUUAGUUAAAAUCAAUGUAAUCACAAAAAAUCUACAAUAAAUGUUGCUCCAAAGAAUCUUUU
Molecule: long non-coding RNA, 264 nt
Filed under: Mytilus galloprovincialis (Mediterranean mussel)
Lineage: Eukaryota; Metazoa; Mollusca; Bivalvia; Mytilida; Mytilidae
Source: RNAcentral